GUCUCUGUAGCACAAUGGAUUGUGUGUUGGACUUCUAAUCCAAAGGUCCUGGGUUUGAUUCCACCUGGGAUG
Non-coding RNA from Trichonephila clavipes, 72 nucleotides. The record is from the annotation of a GenBank genome assembly. NCBI's taxonomy places the organism in Eukaryota, Metazoa, Arthropoda, Arachnida, Araneae, Nephilidae.